This 474-nucleotide ribosomal RNA is filed under the name uncultured bacterium. Its description in RNAcentral is "partial 16S ribosomal RNA". It matches the Rfam family "Bacterial small subunit ribosomal RNA", at positions 28 to 507 of the family's 1533-position model. The record is from RNAcentral.
GAUGAACGCUAGCGGCAGGCCUAACACAUGCAAGUCGAGGGAUAAGCCUUCGGGCUGAAACCGGCGCACGGGUGCGUAACGCGUAUACAAUCUGCCUUUCACAUAGGGAUAGCCCGGAGAAAUUUUUAUUAAUACCUAAUGUUAUAUAAGAGUGGCAUCUUUUUUAUAUUAAUGCUUUGUUGGUGAAAGAUUAGUAUGCGUUCUAUUAGCUAGUUGGAGAGGUAACGGCUCCCCAAGGCGACGAUAGAUAGGGGUUCUGAGAGGGAUGUCCCCCACAAUGGUACUGAGAUACGGACCAGAAUCCUACGGGAGGCAGCAGUGAGGAAUAUUGGACAAUGGUCGGAAGACUGAUCAAGCCAUGCCGCGUGCAGGACGACGGUCAUAUGGAUUGUAAACUGCUUUUGUAAGGGAAGAAUAAGGAGUACGUGUACUUUGAUGACGGUACCUUACGAAUAAGCAUCGGCUAACUCCGUG